This 1265-nucleotide ribosomal RNA is filed under the name uncultured Cercozoa. RNAcentral's name for it is "partial small subunit ribosomal RNA". It matches the Rfam family "Eukaryotic small subunit ribosomal RNA", at positions 139 to 1209 of the family's 1831-position model. The record is from RNAcentral. Lineage: Eukaryota; Cercozoa.
CAGCAGCCGCGGUAAUUCCACGCCUAAUACUUGCGUAAACACGAACUUUUUGGAACGUGGCAUUUAUUAGCUUGAAACCAACUGCCCGUUAAACGGCUUGAUUGAUUUCUAAUAACUCAGUGAAUCUCAGUCAAAUGAGAUUUCCGCUAUUGACAGAUGAUGUAUUAGUUUGAAAGUUGUGUAGUGGACAACUUUGACGAUUAUGCUAACGGGGAUCUAGAGGUCGAUACCGGAGAGAGAGCCUGAGAGACAGCUCUCAUUUCUAAGGAAAGCAGCAGGGACGAAAAUUGUACAAUAAUUAAUUAAUUGAUACAGUGACAAUCUGUAAUUGUUUUUGCCGGGUUAAACUGGUAAAAAAUAGUUAAUAAAAUAUUACUUAAACUCGUUUUAGGAAAACGAUGGCCAUAGCUUUGCCAGCAGCAGCGGUAAUAAUGCAUCGUUGAGUUGACAUCCAUAAUGCGAAUAAACGUUCGUAGUUGGUAUUCAUUAUACGUUGUUAUGAUGAGGGCUCCUUCGGGGUCUUUUUAUUUGUGCGGGACAUUUGUUCCGUUUCAAACAUUAUAAUUUUUUAAUGUAUAAUAUAGGAUUUAACGAUGUAGUCAAAUACAUGAGUAAAUUCUUUUACCAUGAGAAAAAGAGUACGCUAAAAGUGGGCUCUAAUGCUUGAAUCAUUCAGCAUGGAAUAAACACAACAGGCUCACAUUAUAUAGUUGUUAUGGGGGUGGUCUCGGCCAUGCCUAUAAUGGUUAUAUGGUGGGUUAUUAUAGUUUUUACUAUAAUAAUUUCGGUCCUUGUUUGUAAGUUGGUUCUUCACGACCAAGUCAUGAUCAAUAGGGGUGGUUGAGGAGAUGUACGUAUGCGUGGGAGAGAGGUGAAAUUUGAUGACCCCACUGCAGACAAACAAAAGCGAAAGCAUUCAUCGAUUACAUUCCCGUUAAUCAAGAACGAAAGUUAGAGUAGCAAAGGCCAUUAGAUGCAGCUGUAGUUUUAACCAUAAACGAUGACAUCUCAGGAUAUCAUUGAUGAUCAUGCUAAAUUAUUAGAUAUUCUCUCGGGGAUAUUUAGUAAUUGCUAAUGUAGAUCUUGUUCAUAGAGUUUUUUAAGCAGGGGUAACCCUGUUACUCGUAUUAGACCAGUGAUGCACUGUGUGGGAAACCAACAGCUGUCUUCGUGGAGUGUAUGUUAGCAAUGAUGAAAUUUAAAAGAAUUGACGGAAGUAUCACCACCAGGAUUGGAUCGUGCGGCUUAAUUUGACUCAACACGGG